Fukomys damarensis (Damara mole-rat) is the source of this 706-nucleotide long non-coding RNA. RefSeq lists it as uncharacterized. The transcript is spliced from 2 exons. Lineage: Eukaryota; Metazoa; Chordata; Mammalia; Rodentia; Bathyergidae. The record is from RefSeq and is a predicted model, not a curated record.
GCAGAAUACCCUCCCAGCACUGUAUUUUCUUGCCGUGUCGGCCUGCUCUCCUCAGUCAUGGUGCCUUCUGUGUCCCUUUGAGGUACCAACUGGCCGACCGGUCACGUCUCACUGCCGCCCCAAGCCUCCGAGCCUCUGCGGAUACUCAGAUGCUGUGCCCCAGCUCACAAGGCUUCCAUGCCUUUCUCCCAUCCUUAACUCCCAGGCAAAGUUGCUUCCCCAUCCGGGCCCGCUCCCUGACGCAAAAAAUGUCCCCCACCCACCCUGACUCCAGCCAGCGUCCUCUCCAUCUCCUCAGGCCCGCCUCAGCCUGAGCCUGUAAAGCCUGUAACAAACACCAGCAUUUUCCAAGAGGUCGAGGCCUGAGCCAGGCCUCGCUGCCCCUGAGGAAGCUCAAGGCCCUCCGGGAGGAACAGUUUGUCCCUCUCUCUGUGGGAGGGCAGAAUCCGCAGCUGGGAAGGCCGAGAAGCCCGGUUCCCAGAGCUAAAACCCCUGCGUGCUUUUCGUAACUCUUCACUUCUGUGACCGGCUCUGAGCCUCACCGGACCUUUUGGCUCCCGCUUCUUUGAAAACACCCAGGCACCUCCCAGCAGAUGGAAGCCGGAGGUCGCUUUCUGCAGCAGUGCUUCUCACUGAUGCAACCCUUACUGCUGAUUAAAACCUGUCCCUGCCUCGUAAAAAAAUAUAAAUAAACAAAUAAAAGGCC